This 521-nucleotide ribosomal RNA is filed under the name uncultured Methyloversatilis sp. RNAcentral describes it as "bacterial SSU rRNA". It matches the Rfam family "Bacterial small subunit ribosomal RNA", at positions 395 to 907 of the family's 1533-position model. The record is from RNAcentral. Lineage: Bacteria; Pseudomonadati; Pseudomonadota; Betaproteobacteria; Nitrosomonadales; Sterolibacteriaceae.
UUCCGCGUGAGUGAAGAAGGCCUUCGGGUUGUAAAGCUCUUUCGGCAGGAACGAAACGGUGAGCUCUAACAUAGCUUGCUAAUGACGGUACCUGAAGAAGAAGCACCGGCUAACUACGUGCCAGCAGCCGCGGUAAUACGUAGGGUGCGAGCGUUAAUCGGAAUUACUGGGCGUAAAGCGUGCGCAGGCGGUUGUGUAAGACAGGUGUGAAAUCCCCGGGCUUAACCUGGGAACUGCGCUUGUGACUGCACAGCUAGAGUAUGGCAGAGGGGGGUGGAAUUCCACGUGUAGCAGUGAAAUGCGUAGAGAUGUGGAGGAACACCGAUGGCGAAGGCAGCCCCCUGGGCCAAUACUGACGCUCAUGCACGAAAGCGUGGGGAGCAAACAGGAUUAGAUACCCUGGUAGUCCACGCCCUAAACGAUGUCGACUAGGUGUUCGGUGAGGAGACUCAUUGAGUACCGCAGCUAACGCGUGAAGUCGACCGCCUGGGGAGUACGGUCGCAAGAUUAAAACUCAAAGG